Molecule: ribosomal RNA, 920 nt
Filed under: Mycobacterium tuberculosis
Lineage: Bacteria; Bacillati; Actinomycetota; Actinomycetes; Mycobacteriales; Mycobacteriaceae
Description: bacterial SSU rRNA
Rfam family: Bacterial small subunit ribosomal RNA
Source: RNAcentral
AGAGUUUGAUCCUGGCUCAGGACGAACGCUGGCGGCGUGCCUAAUACAUGCAAGUAGAACGCUGAAGGAAGGAGCUUGCUCUUUCCGGAUGAGUUGCGAACGGGUGAGUAACGCGUAGGUAACCUGCCUGGUAGCGGGGGAUAACUAUUGGAAACGAUAGCUAAUACCGCAUAACAGUAGAUAUUGCAUGAUAUCUGCUUGAAAGGUGCAAUUGCAUCACUAAGAGAUGGACCUGCGUUGUAUUAGCUAGUUGGUGAGGUAACGGCUCACCAAGGCGACGAUACAUAGCCGACCUGAGAGGGUGAUCGGCCACACUGGGACUGAGACACGGCCCAGACUCCUACGGGAGGCAGCAGUAGGGAAUCUUCGGCAAUGGGGGCAACCCUGACCGAGCAACGCCGCGUGAGUGAAGAAGGUUUUCGGAUCGUAAAGCUCUGUUGUAAGAGAAGAACGAGUGUGAGAGUGGAAAGUUCACACUGUGACGGUAUCUUACCAGAAAGGGACGGCUAACUACGUGCCAGCAGCCGCGGUAAUACGUAGGUCCCGAGCGUUAUCCGGAUUUAUUGGGCGUAAAGCGAGCGCAGGCGGUUAGAUAAGUCUGAAGUUAAAGGCUGUGGCUUAACCAUAGUACGCUUUGGAAACUGUUUAACUUGAGUGCAGAAGGGGAGAGUGGAAUUCCAUGUGUAGCGGUGAAAUGCGUAGAUAUAUGGAGGAACACCGGUGGCGAAAGCGGCUCUCUGGUCUGUAACUGACGCUGAGGCUCGAAAGCGUGGGGAGCGAACAGGAUUAGAUACCCUGGUAGUCCACGCCGUAAACGAUGAGUGCUAGGUGUUGGAUCCUUUCCGGGAUUCAGUGCCGCAGCUAACGCAUUAAGCACUCCGCCUGGGGAGUACGACCGCAAGGUUGAAACUCAAAGGAAU